RNAcentral lists this long non-coding RNA (1080 nucleotides) under Linum usitatissimum (flax). Its description in RNAcentral is "long non-coding RNA (LUSI_LNC004518)". The record is from RNAcentral. Lineage: Eukaryota; Viridiplantae; Streptophyta; Magnoliopsida; Malpighiales; Linaceae.
GUAAGUAAACAACGAUUAUUUGAUGAUUAAGAAGGUUAGGACUUUUAUCUUCCUGGGAUUGAAAGAGUUACGCAACAAAACAAUAUAUCGAAUAUCCUUCACCACAUCCUCGUAAGUCAGAAUUCUUCCUGACAACAACAUUGUCUAACAAAUAAUUGUUCAUUUAGAAUGUCUAGUUAUUGCACUACAAAUCAAAGUACUAGAUUGUAGCCCGCGAUUUACAGAGGAUAAAUGAGUCGGAAGGAACCAAAUUGGGUGACCAUCAAUAGGUGGUGACCAUUUUGCUGUGUAGUAUACAACCGUAGUCAAGACCUGCAACAAUAAAUGUUAGAGAUCAAUGUAAGAAAAGAAAAAAAUCUCAAAAACAAACAUAACCAUUGGGUAAUACUUACAUUAUCUCAAGCCACACACCAGGAAGUAAAGUUUGUAAGUCCUUACGCUUCAAACUCAUAACUCUAUUUUCAAAUAGAACCUCCUGGAGAGAAAAACCUUCCAAAAAAUGUAGCAUCCAACUGCCGCUUCUUGUUCUGAUAAUACAACCCAUGUUGGUAUAGCAGUCUUUGGUCCGAUAAACUAUUUGACAUUUGGACAGUUAAUUAUAAGUUUGAAAAGAAAAGUGCAAGUGAAUUGAGAAGUCAAGAAAAAUAUCUCCCCAAGAAUCUUUGUUUAGAGAGCAUUUUGCUUCGAGGAAGAAGCUUUUGUCUGAUUCUAUAACAACGACAUCAUUGAGGUUAGGAUUUUCAGACUUAUUUUGCAUACAAAUAGAAACCUAAUUGGAAUGGGAACAGUUAAUUAAAUCAUUUUCAAACCUUACAAGUAAAUUGAAAAAUACAUGGAUGUUAAGCUUCUCAACGAACUUCAUUUUUGGAGCCUUUUCCAACGAGGAAGAAGAGAUAUUGUCUGAUUUGAUUGCAAUAAAAUCAUUGGAUGUUUGAUUUAAAUGUUCCUUAUUCAUAUAUACAACAUCUGCAAAAAUUGAAGCUCUUAUUUCAGGGGGAGUACAAAUAGGAUCUCGGCGAACUUAUCAAUGGAUACUAUUGGUCUUCGUUUAUGUUGCUUCUUUUUUAUAUUUGAUGAAUU